AAAAAAUUUAAUUAAUGUUUGGAAAUUUACUUUAUAAUUAAUAAUAUAAAUAAAUUUUUAUAAAAUAAAAAAAUUUAAAUAAUUUUUAAAAUAAAGUAAUUAAUAUUUAUAUUGAGAGUGAUUAAGAAAUUGAAUCUAGUAAUUUAUAUUAAAAUAAAGAUAAAUUUUAGUGCCAGCAAUAGCGGUUAAACUAAAUGUUAUGAGUAAAUUUAAUUAAUUAGAGGUAAGGAAGGUUUAGAAUUUAUAUUUAUGAUAUUAAUAAUUUUUUAUAUGGUGAAAUAUGUAAUAAAUUUAAAGUAUUAAAAAUAUAAAAUAAUUUUGAUAUAAUGAAAUUAAAAAAAAACUAGGAUUAGAGACCCUAUUAUUAUAAAAUAAAUAAGGAUAAUUGGAAAAUAAAUGUGAAUCAUUAAAAUUUAAAUAAUUUGGCGGUAUUUUAAAAAGUUAGAGGAAUUUGUCUUAUAAAUGAUAAUCCACGAUAAGAGGGUCUUAAUAGAAAUUUUAUAUAUUGUUGUUUAAAAAUUAUUUUAGGAGAAUUAUAAUUGUUAAAUUUAAUAAUAAAUUUGAAUUCAAAUCAAAAUGUAGAAUUAUUAAGUAAAGAUGAGUUACAUUUUAGUUUAUAAAAGAAUAUUUAAAAAAUUUUAAGUAUUUUGAAUAUAAAGGAUUUAAUAGUAAAUUUAAUAAAUUUAUUAGAUUGAAAGUUAAAUAAAAUAUGUACAAAUUGCCCGUCAUUUUCAUAAAUAAAUAGUUGAAAGAAGUCGUAACAAAGUAAAUGUACAGGAAUGUGUAUUUAGUU
RNAcentral lists this non-coding RNA (793 nucleotides) under Atta sexdens rubropilosa. Lineage: Eukaryota; Metazoa; Arthropoda; Insecta; Hymenoptera; Formicidae. The record is from RNAcentral.